Molecule: ribosomal RNA, 274 nt
Filed under: uncultured bacterium
Lineage: Bacteria
Description: partial 16S ribosomal RNA
Rfam family: Bacterial small subunit ribosomal RNA
Source: RNAcentral
AUACGGAGGGUGCGAGCGUUAAUCGGAAUUACUGGGCGUAAAGCGCGCGUAGGCGGCCUGUUAAGUCAGAUGUGAAAGCCCCGGGCUCAACCUGGGAAUUGCGUCUGAUACUGGCAGGCUAGAGUCUGGUAGAGGGUAGCGGAAUUCCCGGUGUAGCGGUGAAAUGCGCAGAUAUCGGGAGGAACACCAGUGGCGAAGGCGGCUACCUGGACCAAGACUGACGCUGAGGUGCGAAAGCGUGGGGAGCAAACAGGAUUAGAAACCCUAGUAGUCC